CCUACGGGUGGCAGCAGUGAGGAAUAUUGGUCAAUGGACGGAAGUCUGAACCAGCCAUGCCGCGUGCAGGAAGACGGCUCUAUGAGUUGUAAACUGCUUUUGUACAAGGGAAAACCUGAAUACGUGUAUUCAGCUGAAAGUACUGUACGAAUAAGGCUCGGCUAACUCCGUGCCAGCAGCCGCGGGAAUACGGAGGAUCCAAGCGUUAUCCGGAUUUAUUGGGUUUAAAGGGUGCGUAGGCGGAUUGAUAAGUUAGAGGGGAAAUGUCCGAGCUUAACUCGGGAACUGCCUCUAAUACGGUUGAUCUAGAGAGUAGAUGCGGUAGGCGGAAUGUAUGGUGUAGCGGUAAAAUGCUUAGAGAUCAUACAGAACACCGAUUGCGAAGGCAGCUUACCAAUCUAUAUCUGACGUUGAGGCACGAAAGCGUGGGGAGCAAACAGGAUUAGAUACCCCAGUAGUC
Molecule: ribosomal RNA, 460 nt
Filed under: uncultured bacterium
Lineage: Bacteria
Description: partial 16S ribosomal RNA
Rfam family: Bacterial small subunit ribosomal RNA
Source: RNAcentral